AACGAAUGAUGGAGGCAUGCCUAACACAUGCAAGUCGAACGAGACCUUCGGGUCUAGUGGCGCACGGGUGCGUAACGCGUGGGAACCUGCCCUUAGGUUCGGAAUAACUCCCCGAAAGGGGUGCUAAUACCGGAUAAUGUCUUCGGACCAAAGAUUUAUCGCCUUUGGAUGGGCCCGCGUUGGAUUAGCUAGUUGGUAGGGUAAAAGCCUACCAAGGCGACGAUCCAUAGCUGGUCUGAGAGGAUGAUCAGCCACACUGGGACUGAGACACGGCCCAGACUCCUACGGGAAGCAGCAGUGGGGAAUAUUGGACAAUGGGCGAAAGCCUGAUCCAGCAAUGCCGCGUGAGUGAUGAAGGCCUUAGGGUUGUAAAGCUCUUUUACCCGGGAUGAUAAUGACAGUACCGGGAGAAUAAGCGCCGGCUAACUCCGUG
RNAcentral lists this ribosomal RNA (433 nucleotides) under uncultured bacterium. Its description in RNAcentral is "partial 16S ribosomal RNA". It matches the Rfam family "Bacterial small subunit ribosomal RNA", at positions 29 to 507 of the family's 1533-position model. The record is from RNAcentral.